RNAcentral lists this ribosomal RNA (897 nucleotides) under uncultured bacterium. Its description in RNAcentral is "bacterial SSU rRNA". It matches the Rfam family "Bacterial small subunit ribosomal RNA", at positions 8 to 920 of the family's 1533-position model. The record is from RNAcentral.
AGAGUUUGAUCCUGGCUCAGGACGAACGCUGGCGGCGUGCUUAACACAUGCAAGUCGAACGGUAAGGCCCUUUCGGGGGUACACGAGUGGCGAACGGGUGAGUAACACGUGGGUAAUCUGCCCUGCACUUCGGGAUAAGCCUGGGAAACCGGGUCUAAUACCGGAUAUGAGCUCCUGCCGCAUGGUGGGGGUUGGAAAGUUUUUCGGUGCAGGAUGAGUCCGCGGCCUAUCAGCUUGUUGGUGGGGUAAUGGCCUACCAAGGCGACGACGGGUAGCCGGCCUGAGAGGGUGAUCGGCCACACUGGGACUGAGACACGGCCCAGACUCCUACGGGAGGCAGCAGUGGGGAAUAUUGCACAAUGGGCGAAAGCCUGAUGCAGCGACGCCGCGUGGGGGAUGACGGUCUUCGGAUUGUAAACUCCUUUCAGUAGGGACGAAGCGAAAGUGACGGUACCUGCAGAAGAAGCACCGGCCAACUACGUGCCAGCAGCCGCGGUAAUACGUAGGGUGCAAGCGUUGUCCGGAAUUACUGGGCGUAAAGAGCUCGUAGGCGGUUUGUCACGUCGUCUGUGAAAUCCUCCAGCUCAACUGGGGGCGUGCAGGCGAUACGGGCAGACUUGAGUACUACAGGGGAGACUGGAAUUCCUGGUGUAGCGGUGAAAUGCGCAGAUAUCAGGAGGAACACCGGUGGCGAAGGCGGGUCUCUGGGUAGUAACUGACGCUGAGGAGCGAAAGCAUGGGGAGCAAACAGGAUUAGAUACCCUGGUAGUCCAUGCCGUAAACGGUGGGCGCUAGGUGUGGGGUCCUUCCACGGAUUCCGUGCCGUAGCUAACGCAUUAAGCGCCCCGCCUGGGGAGUACGGCCGCAAGGCUAAAACUCAAAUGAAUUGACGGGGGC